This 106-nucleotide small RNA is filed under the name Marmota monax (woodchuck). Lineage: Eukaryota; Metazoa; Chordata; Mammalia; Rodentia; Sciuridae. The record is from RNAcentral.
GCCAGGUGCAGUGGCGCACACCUGUAAUCCCAGCUACUAGGAGGCGGAGGCAGAAGGAUCCUGAGUUCCAGGCCAGCCUCAGCAACUUAGCAAGACCCUGUCUCCA